This 633-nucleotide long non-coding RNA is filed under the name Jatropha curcas. RNAcentral's name for it is "long non-coding RNA (JCUR_LNC001270)". Lineage: Eukaryota; Viridiplantae; Streptophyta; Magnoliopsida; Malpighiales; Euphorbiaceae. The record is from RNAcentral.
UAUAAUAUCUAGAAAAUAAAGAAGUUACCAUACCAUAACUUAAGGAUGUUUUAUUCCCUAAACCUUCACCAAGUGUGCCUCAGCCAACGAAGAACUAAGGUCUUCUCGAGAUUGUGAUCUCCUGCUUUGAAGACGCAUCUGACCUCUGUGAGGAGACCAGAAUGAACCCAUGCUAUUACUCUCAAUCAUCUGCCCUAAGCUACUUGAGGAAUAACUAUGUGAUACACCACUAGUUGACGGAUACAAAGACGACUCCAUAAGCUGAAUGCCGCUGCUGUCUAGACCAUGGGCCAAGCCAAAUGGGCUUUGAUGGUUACCCGCAAUUGUUGGACUCAGGGGCAUCUUUGCUCUUCCAUCUCCUAAAAGAAAAAUUUCAAGGUUUUCUUUAAAUAUAAGUCAAGGCAAACAAAAGCUAUGAGAGAUCAUAAAAAAAAAAAAAAAAAAAAAACCCAAAUAAAAAAUUCGCAAUUGUUUUGUUAAAAAGAAAAAGGCUAAACCUUCACCAAGUGUGCCUCAGCCAACGAAGAACUAAGGUCUUCUCGAGAUUGUGAUCUCCUGCUUUGAAGACGCAUCUGACCUCUGUGAGGAGACCAGAAUGAACCCAUGCUAUUACUCUCAAUCAUCUGCCCUAAG